RNAcentral lists this ribosomal RNA (253 nucleotides) under uncultured bacterium. Its description in RNAcentral is "partial 16S ribosomal RNA". It matches the Rfam family "Bacterial small subunit ribosomal RNA", at positions 524 to 776 of the family's 1533-position model. The record is from RNAcentral.
UACAGAGGGUGCGAGCGUUGUCCGGAAUCACUGGGCGUAAAGGGCGCGUAGGUGGCGACCCAAGUCGAUGGUGAAAGCUCGCCGCUCAACGGCGAGUCGGCCACCGAUACUGGGUUGCUCGAGCACUGUAGAGGCUAAUGGAAUUCCGGGUGUAGCGGUGGAAUGCGUAGAGAUCCGGAAGGACACCGGUGGCGAAGGCGGUUAGCUGGGCAGUUGCUGACACUGAGGCGCGACAGCGUGGGGAGCAAACAGG